Molecule: ribosomal RNA, 781 nt
Filed under: uncultured Anaerolineaceae bacterium
Lineage: Bacteria; Bacillati; Chloroflexota; Anaerolineae; Anaerolineales; Anaerolineaceae
Description: bacterial SSU rRNA
Rfam family: Bacterial small subunit ribosomal RNA
Source: RNAcentral
AGAGUUUGAUUAUGGCUCAGGAUGAACGUUGGCGGCGUGCCUAAUACAUGCAAGUCGAACGAAGAGCUCGGCGUAGCAAUACGCUGAUCCUCUUAGUGGCGAACGGGUGAGUAACGCGUUGGUGACCUACCCCAAAGAGAGGGAUAACAGCUCGAAAGAGCUGCUAAUACCUCAUGUGAUCGUCGGGAUUAGACGCCUGAUGAUUAAAGGAGCUUGCUCCACUUUGGGAGGGGCCUGCGUACCAUCAGCUAGUUGGUAGGGUAAUGGCCUACCAAGGCUAUGACGGUUAGGGGACCUGAGAGGGUGGCCCCCCACAAUGGAACUGAAACACGGUCCAUACACCUACGGGUGGCAGCAGUAGGGAAUAUUGGUAAUGCACGAAAGCGCGAACCAGCAACGCCGCGUGUGCGAUGAAGGCCUUCGGGUUGUAAAGCACUUUUCGGGAGGAAGAGGAAGGACUGUACUCCCGGAAUAAGUCUCGGCUAACUACGUGCCAGCAGCCGCGGUAAUACGUAGGAGGCUAACGUUAUCCGGAUUUACUGGGCGUAAAGCGCGUGUAGGCGGUUCGGUAAGUUGGACGUGAAAGCUCCCGGCUCAACUGGGAGAGGUCGUUCAAUACUGUCGGACUAGAGGAUGGUAGAGGGAGGUGGAAUUCCGGGUGUAGUGGUGAAAUGCGCAGAUAUCCGGAGGAACACCAGUGGCGAAGGCGGCCUCCUGGACCAGUCCUGACGCUCAGACGCGAAAGCUAGGGUAGCAAACGGGAUUAGAUACCCUGGUAGUC